CAAUCGAUUGAUGAUUUCAUUAUUUUCAAGAAAUCAAAUGUAAAUUCAGGUGGUAUACGACAUUCACAAUCCACACAAUCGGCUGCCUGAUGUCGUGAUUGAUAGAUACGUGCACCAACCGGAUAUUUACGGCCUUCGAAAUGACAUAAUUUUGAACCAUAAUCAACACCACGAACCCGUAAUGCCAUCUGUCGUGUACGAGCUGAAAUGUUGAUAAUGACCGGCCAAACUUACGACAAAUAAAAUCCACUGGGCAACAUUUAUCUGGAUCAUAAACUGGUAUACAACCACGACGAAAUCUU
This is a long non-coding RNA of Dermatophagoides farinae (American house dust mite), 302 nucleotides long. RefSeq lists it as uncharacterized. The record is from RefSeq and is a predicted model, not a curated record. NCBI's taxonomy places the organism in Eukaryota, Metazoa, Arthropoda, Arachnida, Sarcoptiformes, Pyroglyphidae.